GUAAGUGGGCAGCGGGUCAUAGAGGAGAAGCUAACUUGUGGGAAGUUCUUCCAAUCUGGAGAUUUGUAAAAUUACAUCAUUAUGUCAUCCAAAUGGAACUUCCCUUGUGUCAGGAAUACGCUCAUUAACACAGCAUAAACAAUCAUAAAUGCAUCAGACAAGUUUUUGGAAUCUGGAAUUCUUUAGAAUCAUGCAAAUUAGAAUUUAGCAUAAUACUUGUGUUUGUAGGGCAUAAGCUUAGAGAAAUCAUACGAACAGCUCAGAUGUGAAAGAAACUUGAUAAGUGUUUUCUCAAAUUUGAUAGAAAGUCUAAAAAUCUACAUGAUGUUAUCAAUAAUGAGUAAAUAUUACAAAAUUGCGAUUCGUAUAAAGAGACAAAGAUAAAGAAUUUGCCAGCUGAAAGGAUGAAUAAACGCUGAAAGUAUGGAUUCCAAAAAUUGUUGCCCCUCAGAAAUGUAAGGACAAAAAGCAUUAUAAGGAUGUGUCAGGCAAUCAAUAAAAAUAUAAUUUUCUAUGAA
Felis catus (domestic cat) is the source of this 518-nucleotide long non-coding RNA. RefSeq lists it as uncharacterized. NCBI's taxonomy places the organism in Eukaryota, Metazoa, Chordata, Mammalia, Carnivora, Felidae. The transcript is spliced from 2 exons. The record is from RefSeq and is a predicted model, not a curated record.